UGGCUACCACAUCCAAGGAUGGCAGCAGGCGCGCAAAUUACCCACUCCCAGCUUGGGGAGGUAGUGACGAAAAAUAACAAUGCGGGACUCUAAGAGGCCCCGUAAUUGGAAUGAGUACACCUUAAAUCGUUUAACGAGUAUCAAUUGGAGGGCAAGUCUGGUGCCAGCAGCCGCGGUAAUUCCAGCUCCAAUAGCGUAUAUUAAAGUUGCUGCAGUUAAAAAGCUCGUAGUUGGAUCUGGGGCUUGAGGUCGCUGUCUAUCGUUUCGGCGAUGACGGUGAUGCUCAGCUCUGCUUGCCGGUGACUGUUGCGGUGUUCUUCACUGAGCGCUGUAGCAGCACGGCACGUUUACUUUGAAAAAAUUAGAGUGCUCAAAGCGUGCUUGUCGCUUGAAUAAUGUUGCAUGGAAUAAUGGAAUAGGACCUCGGUUCUAUUUUGUUGGUUUUCGGAGCUUGAGGUAAUGAUUAAGAGGGACGAACGGGGGCAUUCGUAUUGCGGUGUUAGAGGUGAAAUUCUUGGAUCGCCGCAAGACGGACUACUGCGAAAGCAUUUGCCAAGAACGCUUUCAUUAAUUAAGAACGAAAGUCAGAGGUUCGAAGACGAUCAGACACCGUCCUAGUUCUGACCAUAAACGAUGCCGACCAGCGAUCCGUAGUGGUUGCUUUAUGGACCCUACGGGCAGCCUCCGGGAAACCAAAGUAUUUGGGUUCCGGGGGAAGUAUGGUUGCAAAGCUGAAACUUAAAGGAAUUGACGGAAGGGCACACCAGGAGUGGAGCCUGCGGCUUAAUUUGACCCAACACGGGAAAACUCACCCGGUCCGGACACCGUAAGGAUUGACAGACUGAUAGCUCUUUCUUGAUUCGGUGGAUGGUGGUGCAUGGCCGUUCUUAGUUGGUGGAGUGAUUUGUCUGGUUAAUUCCGAUAACGAACGAGACUCUAGCCUGCUAAGUAGUGUUGCUAUUGUUAUAUGGUUGACACUUCUUAGAGGGACAAGUGGCAUUUAGCCACGCGAAAUUGAGCAAUAACAGGUCUGUGAUGCCCUUAGAUGUCCGGGGCCGCACGCGCGCUACACUGGAGAAGUCAGCGUGUGUUAUCCAAGUCCGAAAGGACUGGGUAAUCCGUUGAACCUUCUUCGUGCUUGGGACUGUGGCUUGGAACUAUUCCACAUGAACGAGGAAUUCCUAGUAAUUGCAAGUCAUAAGCUUGCGUUGAUUUCGUCCCUGCCCUUUGUACACACCGCCCGUCGCUACUACCGAUUGAAUGGUUUAGCAAGGUCCUCGGAUCGUGGCCGUAGGGGCACGCAAGUGUUUCUGCGGUUUGCGAGAAGACGACCAAACUUGAUCAUUUAGAGGAAGUAAAAGUCGUAACAAGGUU
Molecule: ribosomal RNA, 1374 nt
Filed under: metagenome
Description: SSU rRNA
Rfam family: Eukaryotic small subunit ribosomal RNA
Source: RNAcentral